AUUGCAUGAUAACUGUUUGAAAAGUGCAAUUGCACCACUACCAGAUGGACCUGCGUUGUAUUAGCUAGUUGGUGGGGUAACGGCUCACCAAGGCGACGAUACAUAGCCGACCUGAGAGGGUGAUCGGCCACACUGGGACUGAGACACGGCCCAGACCUCCUACGGGAGGCAGCAGUAGGGAAUCUUCGGCAAUGGACGGAAGUCUGACCGAGCAACGCCGCGUGAGUGAAGAAGGUUUUCGGAUCGUAAAGCUCUGUUGUAAGAGAAGAACGAGUGUGAGAGUGGAAAGUUCACACUGUGACG
Molecule: ribosomal RNA, 303 nt
Filed under: Streptococcus mitis
Lineage: Bacteria; Bacillati; Bacillota; Bacilli; Lactobacillales; Streptococcaceae
Description: bacterial SSU rRNA
Rfam family: Bacterial small subunit ribosomal RNA
Source: RNAcentral